AUCUAUAGUUUAUAGAAAAUAUAUAAUUUGCAAUUAUAAGAAACCAUUAGAAAUA
RNAcentral lists this transfer RNA (55 nucleotides) under Cymothoa indica. RNAcentral's name for it is "tRNA-Ala". Lineage: Eukaryota; Metazoa; Arthropoda; Malacostraca; Isopoda; Cymothoidae. The record is from RNAcentral.